Long non-coding RNA from Uranotaenia lowii, 743 nucleotides. RefSeq lists it as uncharacterized. The record is from RefSeq and is a predicted model, not a curated record. The transcript has 3 exons. Lineage: Eukaryota; Metazoa; Arthropoda; Insecta; Diptera; Culicidae.
AUGUUCUUCAAGUUCCUGUUCCCGGAGGAAAAAAACACCUAGAGCAAAAAUGCCCAACAAAAUUGCAUUACGAAGUCACCCUUUGCAACGAAUCUGUCAGCAACAAUUAUCGCAGAACCUACAGCCAAGCAGAGCGGUCUUAUAUUCUCCAGGGUUCAGCAAUAUUACGUACAUGUAUCCAGGCUUUGCAGAUCACAGCCCGUUGGCCGAAUUACCUCGUAUGCCAAAACCUUCACCGCAUUCAAGAAGAAUCUUUCGUCUUACAUCACAAACACCGUAUAACUACACCUCUGGAGUUCAAACGAUGUAUCAAUAUGGAGCUAACCCAUACGAAAUCCCGGUCUUCGUUUAUACAGUUUCUUUUUGCGCAGGCAGUUUUAGCACUUUGUGCAUCAAGACGUAAAUCAAUCACUUCUAAUGGCCCAGAAUUUUUUUCAUCGAAGGAAGCAGUUUAGCUACUAAGUUUCGGUAAACCAGAGACAUAUGCAAUCUAUUUAAAUGAAGGAUAGACCAAAGAGUCCAUAGUGCUUACCAAUGGCCGAUAUCGGUACAAGUAACUAAUGGUAAAAAUUCAUCAUUCUUCAUAUGAAACCGUAGGUCAUACAUUUCGUAAUAGUGGGCAUUGCAUAAAAAAUGUCACGUCGACAGAAGAUUUACUUUAAGUUUACAAUAAUCGAGUUCCGUAUCUUUUAAAUAUGGACAUAAAAGUAUAUAUCUAUCUGUUGCUUCCAACAGUGCACUGU